This 28-nucleotide small RNA is filed under the name Bombyx mori (domestic silkworm). RNAcentral's name for it is "ovarian small RNA-5748". The record is from RNAcentral. Lineage: Eukaryota; Metazoa; Arthropoda; Insecta; Lepidoptera; Bombycidae.
UAAGAUAACUGUCUCACACGUUGGGUUC